UGGUGGGUAGUUUGACUGGGGCGGUCUCCUCCUAAAGAGUAACGGAGGAGCACGAAGGUUGGCUAAUCCUGGUCGGACAUCAGGAGGUUAGUGCAAUGGCAUAAGCCAGCUUGACUGCGAGCGUGACGGCGCGAGCAGGUGCGAAAGCAGGUCAUAGUGAUCCGGUGGUUCUGAAUGGAAGGGCCAUCGCUCAACGGAUAAAAGGUACUCCGGGGAUAACAGGCUGAUACCGCCCAAGAGUUCAUAUCGACGGCGGUGUUUGGCACCUCGAUGUCGGCUCAUCACAUCCUGGGGCUGAAGUAGGUCCCAAGGGUAUGGCUGUUCGCCAUUUAAAGUGGUACGCGAGCUGGGUUUAGAACGUCGUGAGACAGUUCGGUCCCUAUCUGCCGUGGGCGCUGGAGAACUGAGGGGGGCUGCUCCUAGUACGAGAGGACCGGAGUGGACGCAUCACUGGUGUUCGGGUUGUCAUGCCAAUGGCACUGCCCGGUAGCUAAAUGCGGAAGAGAUAAGUGCUGAAAGCAUCUAAGCACGAAACUUGCCCCGAGAUGAGUUCUCCCUGAGACUUUAAGUCUCCUGAAGGAACGUUGAAGACGACGACGUUGAUAGGCCGGGUGUGUAAGCGCAGCGAUGCGUUGAGCUAACCGGUACUAAUGAACCGUGAGGCUUAACCUU
RNAcentral lists this ribosomal RNA (672 nucleotides) under Escherichia coli. RNAcentral describes it as "partial 23S ribosomal RNA". It matches the Rfam family "Bacterial large subunit ribosomal RNA", at positions 2259 to 2925 of the family's 2925-position model. The record is from RNAcentral. RNAcentral also lists the same sequence under 12 other names. Lineage: Bacteria; Pseudomonadati; Pseudomonadota; Gammaproteobacteria; Enterobacterales; Enterobacteriaceae.